UAUUUAAAUAUAGUUAAUUAAUUUUUUUUGUUUUAAAUUUACGUUUUUAUAAAAAUAAUUUAGAUAUUUAUUGUUUAAGUAUUGAUUAAAAAAUAAUUAUUAGUUUUAUAGUUUAAUAGUAUUGUAAAAGAAAUUAUUUAUAUAAUUGUAAGAAUUUUGUUAGUACCUUUUGUAUCAGGGUUGAUUAAAAUUUUUAAUUUAUUUUAAUUUCUCAAAAUUUAUAGAGUUAAUUUUAUUAUUAAGUUAUUGUAUUAAAAAUAUUUAAAAAAUAAUUUUGGUUUUGAAAUUUAAUUCGUUAUAAUAUAUUUAGUUAUUUAAGAGUUAAAUUUAAUUUAAAAUUUUAAGAGUUUAAUUAAUUUUUUUUAUUAAUAUUUUAAAUUUAUAUUAUUUUAGGGAUAAGCUUGAAAUUUUUAUAUAACAAUUAUUUAUUUUAAUAAUUUAUAGGAAUAGAAAUUUUUAUUUAAAGUUUGUAAAAAUUUAUUAUUAAUUUAAGUUUAAUUUAUUAUAGUUUGUUUAUUUUUAUUAUUAAAUUUUAUAAUUUAAUUUUUUAAUUAUAGUAAUAAUGGUUAAAUUAGUAUAAUAUUGAUUUAUAAAUUAUGAAUUCGGCAAAUUUUAUUUUUAUCUGUUUAACAAAAACAUUGUAUUAAGUUUUAUUUAAUAUAGGAUCUGCUCAAUGAUUUAUUAAAUAGCUGCAGUAUUUUGACUGUGCAAAGGUAGCGUAGUAAUUAGUCUUUUAAUUGAGGACUUGAAUGAAAGAUUUGAUAAGAAAUAGACUUUAUUAUUUAUAUAAUUAGAAUUUUAUUUUUAAGUAAAAAAGCUUAAAUUUUUUAAAGUGACGAUAAGACCCUAUAAAACUUUAUAAUUAAUAGUAUUUAUUUUUUUUUGUUUUAUUUAAUAUUAAUUUGAAUUUUAUUAAUUAUUUAAUUGGGGUGAUAAAAAAAUUUCUUAAACUUUUUUUAAAACUAAACAUUAAUAAAUGAUUUUUUGAAUUAAAAAUUUUAAUUAAAGGAAAAAGUUACUUUAGGGAUAACAGCGUAAUUAAUUUUUUAAGUUCAAAUUUAAAAGUUAGU
RNAcentral lists this ribosomal RNA (1070 nucleotides) under Metanipponaphis cuspidatae. Its description in RNAcentral is "partial large subunit ribosomal RNA". The record is from RNAcentral. Lineage: Eukaryota; Metazoa; Arthropoda; Insecta; Hemiptera; Hormaphididae.